Non-coding RNA from Endozoicomonas numazuensis, 82 nucleotides. Lineage: Bacteria; Pseudomonadati; Pseudomonadota; Gammaproteobacteria; Oceanospirillales; Endozoicomonadaceae. The record is from Rfam.
CUAUCAACAUCGUGAGGUGUUGAGAUGGGGAGGCAGAAGUCAGCAGAGGCCAUAGUAGGUUUGUUACCGCAAGCUGAAGGGU